This 352-nucleotide ribosomal RNA is filed under the name uncultured bacterium. RNAcentral describes it as "bacterial SSU rRNA". It matches the Rfam family "Bacterial small subunit ribosomal RNA", at positions 8 to 353 of the family's 1533-position model. The record is from RNAcentral.
AGAGUUUGAUCCUGGCUCAGGAUGAACGCUAGCGACAGGCCUAACACAUGCAAGUCGAGGGGCAGCGAAGAGGUAGCAAUACCUUUGUCGGCGACCGGCGUACGGGUGAGUAACGCGUAUCCAACCUGCCCACCACUUGGGGAUAACCUUGCGAAAGUAAGACUAAUACCCAAUGACGUCUCUAGAAGACAUCUGAAAGAGAUUAAAGAUUUAUCGGUGAUGGAUGGGGAUGCGUCUGAUUAGCUUGUUGGCGGGGUAACGGCCCACCAAGGCGACGAUCAGUAGGGGUUCUGAGAGGAAGGCCCCCCACAUUGGAACUGAGACACGGUCCAAACUCCUACGGGAGGCAGCA